UCCUACGGGAGGCAGCAGUGGGGAAUUUUGGACAAUGGGCGCAAGCCUGAUCCAGCAAUGCGGGUUGUAAAGCACUUUUGGCGGGAGCGAAACGGCGUCGCUAAUGACGGUACCCGCAGAAUAAGCACCGGCUAACUACGUGCCAGCAGCCGCGGUAAGACGUAGGGUGCGAGCGUUAAUCUGUAAGACAGGUGUGAAAUCCCCGGGCUUAACCUGGGAACUGCACUUGUGACUGCAAGGCUAGAGUGUGUCAGAGGGAGGUGGAAUUCCGCGUGUAGCAGUGAAAUGCGUAGAUAUGCGGAGGAACACCGAUGGCGAAGGCAGCCUCCUGGGAUAACACUGACGCUCAGGGAGCAAACAGGAUUAGAUACCCUGGUAGUCCACGCCCUAAACGACUUGGUAACGCAGCUAACGCGUGAAGUUGACCGCCUGGGGAGUACGGCCGCAAGGUU
RNAcentral lists this ribosomal RNA (452 nucleotides) under uncultured bacterium. RNAcentral describes it as "bacterial SSU rRNA". It matches the Rfam family "Bacterial small subunit ribosomal RNA", at positions 337 to 895 of the family's 1533-position model. The record is from RNAcentral.